Long non-coding RNA from Peromyscus eremicus (cactus mouse), 547 nucleotides. RefSeq lists it as uncharacterized. The transcript has 2 exons. Lineage: Eukaryota; Metazoa; Chordata; Mammalia; Rodentia; Cricetidae. The record is from RefSeq and is a predicted model, not a curated record.
CCUUACAGGGAGAGGUUGCGGAGGCCGUUCUGUCGGGUAACGGUGGGCAUUUGGGAAGGUCUGGCAUCUGUGUCAGCCAGUCAGGGAUAGGCUCUACAAGGUCCCUUGGAACUAAAUCUUGAAGGAAAAAAAGCCAGGCACACAAAGCAAAACAACAACAACAACAACAACAACAAAAAACACCAAAAACCCACGUGAGCCAAAGUGCAGAGGUGAAGACGGGGAGUGAACAGGUGACGCUGUGGGCACUGGGGUGGCCUAGAGGAGUGAUCCAGGAGACUGUGGACGAGACGCUGCUUCAGAGCAAGCAAUGGAACAGUGUGAGCCAGCAUCGUCGAGCAGAGUGAAGGGGCAAAGCCUGUCAGCCUGGCGACCAGCACACCGGGGGUGACACCCUCCAGGAAGCUCUGCUGUGAAGCCUUGAUUCCAGAAGUUAAACUUUCUUCUGCGGGUAACAGCGAGCCAGUGCCCACUUUAUAAUGGACUAGGCAGACUGGGAUGGGAUCAAAGUUGAGUGUUUUUUAAAAUAAAUCUUGGCGUUGUCUCA